AAGUCCGGGCUCCGCAGAGCAGGAUAACGGCUAACGGCCGCCGAGGGUGACCUUAAGGGAAAGUGCAACAGAGAUAUACCGCCCGGCUUUUGCCGGGUAAGGGUGGAAAGGCGAGGUAAGAGCUCACCGGCACGGUGGAGACAUUCGUGCCCUGUAAACCCUAUCCGGAGCAACACCGACCAAAGUGGCUUGCUCGGCCAAAACUUUAACGGGUGGCGUGAGCAGAGGAGCAAUCCUUUGCCAAGACAGAUGAUCGCCUUGAACGACAGAACCCGGCUUACAGUCCGGCUCG
This 292-nucleotide RNase P RNA is filed under the name bovine gut metagenome. Its description in RNAcentral is "Bacterial RNase P class A". It matches the Rfam family "Bacterial RNase P class A", at positions 48 to 363 of the family's 367-position model. From Rfam's summary of the family: Ribonuclease P (RNase P) is a ubiquitous endoribonuclease, found in archaea, bacteria and eukarya as well as chloroplasts and mitochondria. The record is from RNAcentral.